Molecule: ribosomal RNA, 253 nt
Filed under: uncultured bacterium
Lineage: Bacteria
Description: partial 16S ribosomal RNA
Rfam family: Bacterial small subunit ribosomal RNA
Source: RNAcentral
UACGGAGGAGGCAAGCGUUAUCCGGAAUUAUUGGACGUAAAGCGUCCGUAGGUGGCUAGUCAAGUCUGCGGUCAAAGACUGGGGCUUAACCCUGGAAAGGCCGUGGAAACUGACGAGCUAGAGUGCAGUAGGGGUAGAGGGAAUUCCCGGUGUAGCGGUGAAAUGCGUAGAGCUCGGGAAGAACAUCGGUGGCGAAAGCGCUCUACUGGACUGCAACUGACACUCAGGGACGAAAGCUAGGGGAGCGAAUGGG